Molecule: long non-coding RNA, 1282 nt
Filed under: Populus tremula
Lineage: Eukaryota; Viridiplantae; Streptophyta; Magnoliopsida; Malpighiales; Salicaceae
Description: long non-coding RNA (PTRE_LNC000869)
Source: RNAcentral
ACCCGUCGGUGACCACUGUGGGAUGAUCAAUCACCACAGGCUGAUGCCUCUCUCACCAGCUAGGUAACAGAAUACUAUGUGCACACAGGCUAACUAUUCUCCGUUAGCAUGGAGUACUGACAAGUCUCAUAUCAAGGCAUAACAGAUAUUCACAUAAUCAUCAAAGAAGCGUAUAUCAUAUCAAAUAGAAUUUACUUUAACAGAUUGCGAGUGCAAAUUCAAGAAUAAAUGAGUACUCGGAAAAUAAAGCAACAUAUAUAAAUAUUCAAGAAAUUUACUAGUUGUACUCAUUAUAUAAUCAACAUACAUAUUUAUUUAUAUUAUAUGCAUAUUAAAGAUUAUUCCACUCACCCGGAAAAUACUGAACUAAAGGAAUGUCAGACGAAAGACCCAAAAAUCCGAUUAAGGAUCGUUAGGAGAACCUACAAUAAAUAUAUGAAAUAUACUCAAAAACAGAUCAAACAAAAGAUCCCAAAGCAUAAAAUAAACCGGGCUUAAUCUCCCAAGUUUAGGGACUAAAACGACAAUUUUCCAAAACAGGGACCAAAACGUAAUUUUACCAAAAUUUUGAGGACCGAACAGUAAAUAUAUAACCAUACUGAAAUUCUGUCCAUAAUUAAUCCUCAAUUCUGUCCAGGAUAUAUCAUUAUGCUCCAAGGAACAUUCUGGAACUUUACCAAAUUUUUAGGGUCAAAUUAUACUUUUUGUCAAAUUGGAGGACCAAACUGAAAAUAUUAAUUAUACUGGAAUUUUGUCCUUAAAUCAUCCUCAGUUCUGUUCAGAACCUCAAUUUAUGCCCCAGGGACCAAUCUGUAAAAUUUCCAAAGUUCGGGGACUAAACUGCAACUUUCACAAAUUGAGGGACCAAACUGAAUUUUCGUCAUCUUCAACCUCAAACCCAGAAUUUCAACAGAUUUACCUACUGUUAGUUCCAGAUUUAUACCUCAACUUCAUCAUUCAAUUCAACCUCUCCAAUUCAUCAUAUUUCUCUACAAUCUCUCCAAUUCAACUAAAAAAUCAAAUACCCACAUCAAUCAACCCCUUAAUUCAAACUAAUUCAUCAAUAAACUCAAAAUUCAAAACUCUAAAAUUAAUCAAAAACCGAAAUUUAAAGCUAAAGAAAACAUAUUAUACAUAUUCAAGCAUAAUUCUUACCCUUUUACUUGUUUUCUUCAACCUUUUCUUUUUUCCCUUAUUUUCCCCUCUUUUCUCUUCUUCUUCUUCUUCCUCUCUUCUCUCCUGCCGGUUCUCUCUCCAAAUUCAGAUCCUUCUUUUUUUUUUU